This 463-nucleotide ribosomal RNA is filed under the name uncultured bacterium. Its description in RNAcentral is "partial 16S ribosomal RNA". It matches the Rfam family "Bacterial small subunit ribosomal RNA", at positions 28 to 523 of the family's 1533-position model. The record is from RNAcentral.
GAUGAACGCUGGCUGUAUGCCUAAUACAUGCAUGUCGAACGAUGUAGCAAUACAUUAGUGGCAAACGGGUGAGGAAUAUACAGGAAUCUCCCGGGCAGUAAGGAAUAACUUCGAGAAAUCGAAGCUAAUGACAUAUAUCACCCCCUAUGUACAUGUAGGGGGGGAAGAUUUAUCGCUGCCCGAUGAGCCUGUAUCGGAUUAGCUAGUUGGUGGGGGAAAGGCCUACCAAGGCGAUGAUCCGUAGCUGGUCUGAGAGGAUGAUCAGCCACACUGGAACUGAGACACGGUCCAGACUCCUACGGGAGGCAGCAGUGGGGAAUAUUGGACAAUGGGCGCAAGCCUGAUCCAGCAAUACCGCGUGAGUGAUGAAGGUCUUCGGAUUGUAAAGCUCUUUUAGUAGGGAAGAUAAUGACGGUACCUACAGAAAAAGCACCGGCAAACUUCGUGCCAGCCGCCGCUGUAA